This 1440-nucleotide long non-coding RNA is filed under the name Daucus carota (carrot). Its description in RNAcentral is "long non-coding RNA (DCAR_LNC004657)". The record is from RNAcentral. Lineage: Eukaryota; Viridiplantae; Streptophyta; Magnoliopsida; Apiales; Apiaceae.
UUUUCAAGGAUAAGAAAUCGGAAAUAUAUUGCGUAUUCGUUGAGUUUUUCUCCACUUGUGGUAUAUUCGUCGUAUCCGCAACAAAUUGCGUAUCAAGUGACAUUAAUUUAAGAAUAGGAGACUCAAUUACAGAGAAAUUUCUUUUUCUCUCUUCUCUCUAGUCGCCUCCUCUUUUCAUCUCCGACGGGGCUUCCAUCGGUUUCCGGUGGAAAGCCCCAAAUCUUUUCGUUUGAUUGCUAAUUUUUGAUUGUUCUUGCUUUUUCAUUGAGUUUCUCAAUAAAUCUCCAUCUUCGGAGAAAGUUUUCUUAGAUCUAUAUCAUCGAAACUUUCGAUUUUCAUUCUUAUUCGCUUCCAGAAGCUUUUUUGGAUUUAUGAGUGGAUCGAUUAUCUCCUGAGUGUCGUGGUGCAGAUCUAAUUGUUUUAGUUUGUUUUGAUUAUAGCUUGAUUUCUCUCCCUGGUGAGAGUGUGUGAUUUUUCUCUCCUUUUGUGAGAGUGGUUUGGAUUCAUCGAUAAAGCCUUUCGGGAAUUGCAUUUGUGGUCGAUAGCUCAAACGGAGUUUUUGGAAAAGAUGGUGAACACAGAGCAAGGAUCUACACAUGUACCAUCGUCAAUUUCAACAUCGCUUAUUUGUCUCAUCUUAGGUAUGAAGACAAGCAUGUUAAUUUUUUCUAUAUUUGUUCAACUCAAUCAUUCCUGUAGAUGCCGUAUGGCCAUUAUUUAUUGAAUUAUCGCUUUUUCUUAAAAAAAAAAGUGACAUUAAUUUAUCAUUAGUUAGUUUUACAUAUAAUCCACGCCCAGUUUUUCGAUUAAGUAAAGAAGAUUAUGCAGUUGAGUCUUAAAUAAAUAAAGAUGCACAUCAUCAAGCCCAUAUCAAGUCCUGUCCUGGACAUGUACUAGUCGAAUUUUUGAAAAUGAUGUCCCGGAAACAUUUGUAUAUAUUCAAAAUGAAUACAUAAUGAAAUAAUCAAAAUAUAUAAUUUUAACAUUAACAAUAUAAUUAGUUUAAAUAUAUGUAAAUAUAUAAAAUACUAUAUUUAUCAUUAUAUAUUAUAUAUGCAUUGAUUUUUUGAUGUCCUAGAAUAGCAGUGUCCUGAACCUUCGUCUUGAUUAUCUUACAUAAGCUCGAACCUGCAUUAUGUAUGCACGAGAUCAAUUUUAUCUUUUCAUACUUGUUUAUUAUGAAUAUUAAAAAUUUAUUCUGAAUAUUUGUCUUACAUAAAAUCGAACCUGCAUUAUGUAUGCACGGGAUCAAUUUUAUCUUUUCAUACUUGUUUAUUAUGAAUAUUAAAAAUUUAUUCUGAAUAUAACAUUUGCCAUCCGUAUUUUAAUCAGAUGCCCAGGGUGCAUAAAACACAACCGAUGCUCAUGGGAAAUAAAUUCAGAUGACAGACAAAAAGUAAGUUAAGGCCCACCACUUUCCCAAAAAUAGUUCAACUUGGU